GUCCCCAAACCCCCAGGAUUUACCCUGUCCCCAAACCCCCAGGAUUUACCCUGUCCCCAAACCCCCAGGAUUUACCCUGUCCCCACACCCCAGGAUUUAUCCUGCCCACACCCCCAAGAUUUCACCCUGUCCCAAACCCCCAAGGUUUAGAUUUACCCUGUCCCAAAUCCCCAGGUUUCACCCUGUCCCCACACCCCCAGGGUUCACCUUUCUUGCUCCACAGAAAUCCAACCAAACCUUUCCCUCCGCUCCAGGCUCUCCAAUGGGACUGAUGCCUUUUGCUUUCCAGAAGAAUUUCCCAAUCAGGAGUUUGGCUCUCGGGCUCAGAGCAAGCUGGAUUUUCACUCCAAUUACACCGUGGUGGUUUCUGCCUCCAAUGAAUUAGGAAAUGCCUCUUCCCAGCCACUCACCUUCAUGUUGAUAGACAUAGUGAAGCCACAUCCUCCCGACUUUUUGGUGGAAUUUGAUGAUUCUUCUGCCACCAGCUGCACCAUUUCCUGGCAGGGUGAAGCACAAGCACAGCACUGCAGGCUGAGGUAUCGCCCCCUCAGCAGGCACACCUGGAGCACGGUAACCCUCUCGGGAUUGAGGGAUCUGGGGACCUGCUGGAGAGGAAAAAGCUCAGAGCCCCUUGCAGAGCCUAAAGGAGAGCUGGAGAGGAACUGGGGACAAGGAUGGAGGGACAGGACACGGGGAAUGGAUUCCCAGAGGGCAGGGCUGGGUGGGAUAGUGGGCAGGAAUGUGAUGAGGGGCUGGGAUGGAAUUCCCAGAGAACUGGCUGCUCCUGGAUCCCUGGCAGUGCCCCAGGCCAGGCUGGAACACCCUGGGACAGUGGGAGGUGUUUAAGUUCCCACCAAAACCAUUCCAUGACCCCACGAAGUUUUUGCUUUGAGUGGCAAAAGGAACGUUUUGCUGGGAGCUGAGCUGAUCACUCAAACAGAGAUUUUGGUAUUGGCACAUAAGUAAUGAGGGAUUUUUCAGAUGAAGCCCCGCAGGCCUGAUGAUUCCUCACAUCAUUUUUGAAUUAUUGAAGCUGCCUCAGAUCAAGAUUUCUCUGUUAUUUUUUAAAGUUGCCUCUGAAUUUGUGAUUCAGCCUCUCACCGCCCUUGUUUCCCCGCGAGUUUAACAUCAAUUCCCUCGUGCCCGCUGCAGGUGGAAAGCUCCAGCAGGGAGAAAUGUCACCUGCGGGGGCUGGAGCCGGACACGGAGUACGAGUUCCAGGCGAGCUGCAGGAUGCUGCCGGGCCGAGGGCUGUGGAGCGACUGGAGCAGGAGCCCGAGCCGCACCCCGGCAGCAGGUGAGUGUCAGGAAAAUUAACCCGCCGACCCCAGGGGUGUGUGUCCGAAAAGGAGACUUUGUUGGGAUAAAGGGAGAGCCCAUGGGGCAUUGCACUGGGAUCUCUCAGAUUUUUGGAGGACUCCCCUCCCUUUUUAUCCCAAUUUCCCUCUCUCUUUCCCCAUGGGCAGAGGUACUCGAGAGGCACAGACUUCCCUAAGAUACCUGAGAUUCCCCUCUAAUGCACAACCCUCCCUUUUAAUUCUUAAUUCUUAUACAAUUCAUGAUUUUCCCCAUUGCUUCUUUCAUCUUCCAAUAUCCAGUUUCAUUUCUCAGCAAACCCACAGCCUGUUUGUAAAGGCAAAUCUCUUCUCCCAUUCAUCAAUCAGUGGAAUCCAUCCCAUUGUUUCUUUUAUCUCUCGGUGCUGGUUUUAUCUACCAGAUCCACAGCUUGUUUGUAAAGAUAAAUCCGACAUUUCUUUCAUCUAGAAUCCUGGAAAUCUGGAAUCCUUGAAAUCUGGAAUCACAGAAUUCUGGAACCACAGAAUCCUGGAAUCAUGGAACUAGAAAUCUGGAAUCCCAGAAUCCUGGAAUCCCAGAAUCCUGGAAUCACAGAAUAUCCUGAGCUGGAAGUGACCCAGAGGGUCGAGCCCAGCUUACAUCACACACCUUCAUUCCAUGCACCGGAGGUGUGAGCCCUUCCUGCCUCCCCCACCUUCCUCUCGACAGUUUUCUCCCCUUUCUCACACCCCGAGUUUGUGGCUGUCACCCCACCCUGUCCGCGCCGGUUUUUAGCUGAUCGAGGAGCUCUUUGUGUCCCCAGAUGAGGUGACAAAAAGGCGAGAAGCUCUGGGCGCAUCAUCUGCCUUGGAGGAGCUGAACUUCUCCACAACCUGUCUGGUUGCAAACCCAAAAUUAAACCUUUUAGAGGAGAAAUUUCUUCUCCAAAUCCUCCACAACUUGUCUGGUUGCAAACUCAAACCUUUUCAUGGAGAAAUUCCUUCUCCAAAUUCUCCACAACCUGUCUGGUUGCAAAUCCC
RNAcentral lists this long non-coding RNA (2315 nucleotides) under Ficedula albicollis (Collared flycatcher). RNAcentral describes it as "lncRNA (ENSFALG00000029067.1)". The record is from RNAcentral. Lineage: Eukaryota; Metazoa; Chordata; Aves; Passeriformes; Muscicapidae.